Long non-coding RNA from Solanum lycopersicum (tomato), 737 nucleotides. RefSeq lists it as uncharacterized. The record is from RefSeq and is a predicted model, not a curated record. NCBI's taxonomy places the organism in Eukaryota, Viridiplantae, Streptophyta, Magnoliopsida, Solanales, Solanaceae.
ACACCCCACUACCCCACGUCUACCUCGCUCUCCUAGAACCUUCUAUUAUUACCAUUACAAAUUUACAAAUCCAGAUCCAAUUUCUCUUCUUCACAUACUUUUUUUCAUUGCAAAUUCCCAAAAUAAACUUCAGUUUUUUUUUCUUUGUUUUCUCCGAUGAGGGCAUUUUUCAACAGAAAGCUUUUUAGAUCUGUGGUCUGGUAGUUUUCCGAUGAUAUCUGAGCUGAUCUGGUUGUCCGGCAGCAAUUUUCCGUGAAAGACUCGCCGGAUUUUUGUUCCCGCCGGCGAGGUAGUUUAGUUUUGAGUUGCAGGCGGCGUUUGUAUGUUUUGGUGAAGAGAAUUAGGGUAAGCCGGCUAAGAUAGUAACUGGGCCUUGAGUUGUUUUUGGGCUAAGAAGCCCAAUUGACAGCUGGAAGUUUGUAAGGUAAAGUCGUGAGCGUGAGAUUUAUAACAAUAAUUUCACGUCUGAAGAGGAGGCGGGCGCCCUCUAAGUUGACCACCCUACCCACUAAUGCACUAUGAGGGGGAAGGCGAACGGGAACCGACCGAAAGCGUGAGAUUUAUAACAAUAAUUUCACGUGCAAUAGUGUAAUUUUUUCUUUUCCUGCAAAUUCAUAUGUUAAAGUUUUUAGUUUACUUUUUUGUGAACAAAACAAUGUGUUUUUCUUAUUACAUUUUCUCAAAUAGAGUUGUUAUUUUUAUUAUAUAUAAAAUGAUUGGACAUUCUUUAUAUAAAA